RNAcentral lists this ribosomal RNA (225 nucleotides) under uncultured Flectobacillus sp. RNAcentral's name for it is "partial 16S ribosomal RNA". It matches the Rfam family "Bacterial small subunit ribosomal RNA", at positions 568 to 792 of the family's 1533-position model. The record is from RNAcentral. Lineage: Bacteria; Pseudomonadati; Bacteroidota; Cytophagia; Cytophagales; Flectobacillaceae.
CGCGUAGGCGGCCAAUUAAGUCAAAUGUGAAAUCCCCGAGCUUAACUUGGGAAUUGCAUUCGAUACUGGUUGGCUAGAGUGUGAUUGAGGUAGCUGGAAUGGAUAGUGUAGCGGUGAAAUGCAUAGAUAUUAUCCAGAACACCGAUUGCGAAGGCAGGUUACUAAGUCAUAACUGACGCUGAGGCACGAAAGUGUGGGGAUCAAACAGGAUUAGAUACCCUUGUA